This 214-nucleotide unclassified non-coding RNA is filed under the name Amylocorticiales sp. RNAcentral's name for it is "partial contains 5.8S ribosomal RNA, internal transcribed spacer 2, and large subunit ribosomal RNA". Lineage: Eukaryota; Fungi; Basidiomycota; Agaricomycetes; Amylocorticiales. The record is from RNAcentral.
AACGCAUAUGGCACCUCCCGGCCCUGCCGGAGGGUAUGCCUGUUUGAGAAUCAUAUCCAAAUAUGUUCAUCAUCCAUUGAUGGACGACCUGGGCAUUCAGCAGUGAUCGCCGUGAAUAAUAGUGUAUUGUCAGGACAUCCUCGUUUGAGAAUUAAUGGCAAUUACAACCCCUCCUCAUGAUCUCAAAUCAGGCAAGGCUACCCGCUGAACUUAA